This 582-nucleotide ribosomal RNA is filed under the name uncultured freshwater bacterium. RNAcentral describes it as "bacterial SSU rRNA". It matches the Rfam family "Bacterial small subunit ribosomal RNA", at positions 8 to 584 of the family's 1533-position model. The record is from RNAcentral.
AGAGUUUGAUCCUGGCUCAGACUGAACGCUGGCGGCAUGCCUUACACAUGCAAGUCGAACGGCAGCACGGGUGCUUGCACCUGGUGGCGAGCGGCGAACGGGUGAGUAAUAUAUCGGAACGUACCUUAUCGUGGGGGAUAACGCAGCGAAAGCUGCGCUAAUACCGCAUACGCCCUGAGGGGGAAAGCGGGGGACCGUAAGGCCUCGCGCGAUUAGAGCGGCCGAUAUCUGAUUAGCUUGUUGGUGGGGUAAAAGCCCACCAAGGCGACGAUCAGUAGCUGGUCUGAGAGGACGAUCAGCCACACUGGGACUGAGACACGGCCCAGACUCCUACGGGAGGCAGCAGUGGGGAAUUUUGGACAAUGGGGGCAACCCUGAUCCAGCAAUGCCGCGUGAGUGAAGAAGGCCUUCGGGUUGUAAAGCUCUUUUGUCAGGGAAGAAACAGCAGCUCUAACACAGUCUGCGAAUGACGGUACCUGAAGAAUAAGCACCGGCUAACUACGUGCCAGCAGCCGCGGUAAUACGUAGGGUGCAAGCGUUAAUCGGAAUUACUGGGCGUAAAGCGUGCGCAGGCGGUUAUAC